This 253-nucleotide ribosomal RNA is filed under the name uncultured bacterium. Its description in RNAcentral is "partial 16S ribosomal RNA". It matches the Rfam family "Bacterial small subunit ribosomal RNA", at positions 524 to 776 of the family's 1533-position model. The record is from RNAcentral.
UACGUAGGGGGCAAGCGUUGUCCGGAUUUAUUGGGCGUAAAGAGCGUGUAGGCGGCCAUACAGGUCAGCUGUGAAAACUCGAGGCUCAACCUCGAGACGUCGGUUGAAACCGUAUGGCUAGAGUCCGGAAGAGGAGAGUGGAAUUCCCGGUGUAGCGGUGAAAUGCGCAGAUAUCGGGACGAACACCUAUGGCGAAGGCAGCUCUCUGGGACGGUACUGACGCUGAGACGCGAAAGCGUGGGGAGCGAACAGG